Molecule: long non-coding RNA, 1595 nt
Organism: Anolis carolinensis (green anole)
Lineage: Eukaryota; Metazoa; Chordata; Lepidosauria; Squamata; Anolidae
Exons: 2
Source: RefSeq, a predicted model, not a curated record
CAUUUCCUAGCCAGGAGGGGGUCUAAAUUCUUUGUGCUGUUCAUAUGCUGAGUAUGCUCAGAUCAAGCAGCUCAGGCAUUUUGUGGCAGAAAAACAAAUGUUACGCCCUCUUCUACAUGCACAUACUGUAUGUCAAAAUAUCUUGCCAGCUAAGUUAUGUUGUCAUACGGUGGAGCAGGACAACGAAACCAAACAAAAGAGAAUCCUACAAACCAAUUCCCAUCUGGAGCGGUGAAAAUAAUAGAAAUAUUCAGUAAGGAGACCCUUGCAUUAUCACUUUUCAUGAUCCAUUCAGUAUCAUUUGACUAAGUUUGCAGCAGUAAGACCUUACAUGGGUUUGGGAAAGAGGCAGAAAGUAAUUUUUUGCUAAAGAAGAACCUCCUAGAAAGAUGGUGUUUGAAGGAAAUGGCACAGGAAAUUGCAGUAGAUAAGAUGGGAGUCUUGAGCAGAACAAGAUAUGGCAAUUAUUUUCAAAAUGGUAGCCACGUGGCAAAUGGUUAGGACCAUAACGAAUGCAAAAGAACCCGUCCCUCAGGUAAUUUCUUUCCAUGUUACAUGUAGACAGUGUGUUUUCUUCAGGGUUGCAAUAUAUAGGGAAAUGAUGCUUCCCAUUUCUUCUAAGGGGUUUUAUUUUGGAAGUUUAAAUAACAGGAGACAUGAAAUGUAUCAAUGCAUUCUGUUAUCAUGGUUCAUGUGGGCCUCAUGUAAUACCCAAGAUAUUUUGUUGUGACUGCGCCUUCGGGGAUUAUGGUUGAUGGUGAUGGGAUUCGAAGAGGAAGAAAAAACCCUCAUGAUGAGGGUUCACUGGAGGAGUUGCGCAGGAAGCGACUUAGAGAGCUUAAUGGGGGAUCUUCUGAGGAAGAUUCAGAUGGGGAGUUUGGGGAAAUGGAUGCUGAGGAACAGGUGGUGGCUGGGGAAGUGGGCACUGAAUGGGCACAGCCACCGGAGAUGUCUGGGGAUUUGGGGCCUAUGGAUACUGCUGAACCUGGGGUUUCUGCAGGAGCAGAUCCCACUUGGGAUGCUUGGAGAAGGGAGGAUGGUUCUUUAAGUGUUCAUGGGGCUAAAUGUGGGCAGGAUGAUUGGGACUCCGACGAACUGUUAGGCACUCCUGAUCCACGAGCCCUAGCUGUGUGGAGUUCGGACUCUGAGUAGAUUUGGGACACCUGGUGUUUGGGUGUGAGUGUUUGGUCACCCAAGAGGAAGGGGAAUAAAAUGUGAAUGUUUGGCCACUGCACUUUGCGUGUGGCAAGGUGUUGCUGAGGCGCCAUUGGGAUCUCUGUGCUUUCGUGAAGACUGGACUUGGACUGUGAUUCGGAUCUGCUGAUACCAUCGUUGCUUGGCUCUUUGUGCCUUUUCGUGGACCUGGUUUGGAUGACUGCACCCUCUUCGGACUCUGGAUUGGAAUUUGACCUGGCUUCUGUCUUCGCCCUCUGACUGACGACUACUCCCGGCUUCUGACUACUGGUUUGCCUUUCGGAAUUUGCUGCUGCCUCCUGACCUGACCUUGGAUUCUCCUGACGACGGCUAUUCAUCAUCCCUUUGAAGCUCUCGGCUUUAUCUGCACCGUGGAAGCAGUUUACUGCACUUCUAGUUUG